AAGGAAAUUCUACUGGAUUGUGUGGAAAGAUUUAGCCUUCUACACCAGGAUGAGGAAGAAGAGUCCAGUAGGCAGGAAACCGAAGAGAAAAUACUCCUG
RNAcentral lists this small RNA (99 nucleotides) under Pan troglodytes (chimpanzee). RNAcentral describes it as "processed transcript". The record is from RNAcentral. Lineage: Eukaryota; Metazoa; Chordata; Mammalia; Primates; Hominidae.